CCCGCACUGCUCAGGGAUGUCCCUAUGCUUUCUACAAAACAACAGACAUAUGGCCUGGAGUCAUACCACAGUGUCCUGAACCACUUCGUUCCGAAAUCCUAUUCGUUUUCUGACGAGGGGAUGGUGGCCAGGACACAGUUGGCAAUACUCCAUUACAACGAGAAUGCUGACCGUGUGCAAGUGGAAAGAGAGGGCUCCAAGCAGUUCCGACUGAAGCCAUCCAAGCUGAAAAAGACGUGGGUGGCCGUACCCCUCAAAGAAAAUGCUACCUAUGAUUAUGCGGCAACACUGAUUGCAGAGGUUCUGACUCGCAUUCAAGAACACCAAACGCAGUCAGCAGCUGCAGAAACUCGGCCAGCUCGUUCAGCAACAUAUGGCGAGAAGCCAACUCUUAGGCAAGCUGUGGAACAACACCAAA
Long non-coding RNA from Ornithodoros turicata, 418 nucleotides. RefSeq lists it as uncharacterized. The transcript has 3 exons. Lineage: Eukaryota; Metazoa; Arthropoda; Arachnida; Ixodida; Argasidae. The record is from RefSeq and is a predicted model, not a curated record.